Long non-coding RNA from Oncorhynchus keta (chum salmon), 694 nucleotides. RefSeq lists it as uncharacterized. The transcript is spliced from 3 exons. The record is from RefSeq and is a predicted model, not a curated record. NCBI's taxonomy places the organism in Eukaryota, Metazoa, Chordata, Actinopteri, Salmoniformes, Salmonidae.
AUUAUUGUUUAUUUAUCUAGAUUUUAUGGACAAUUUUAUAUCAUUUCUUGCAUUAAGCAUCAACAUGAAAACCCUCUUAUAAUUGCCACUUUCCUGGCAGAAUUUACCUGUAUAAGGACAGGUCUAGGAUCAGCUUAUCCUCCCCAAUCCUGACCCUAGACCUGUAUAAGGACAGGUCUAGGAUCAGCUUAUCCUCCCCAAUCCUGACCCUAGACCUGUAUAAGGACAGGUCUAGGAUCAGCUUAUCCUCCCCAAUCCUGACCCUAGACCUGUAUAAGGACAGGUCUAGGAUCAGCUUAUCCUCCCCAAUCCUGACCCUAGACCUGUAUAAGGACAGGUCUAGGAUCAGCUUAUCCUCCCCAAUCCUGUCCCUAGACCUGUAUAAGGACAGGUCUAGGAUCAGCUUAUCCUCCCCAAUCCUGACCCUAGACCUGUAUAAGGACAGGUCUAGGAUCAGCUUAUCCUCCCCAAUCCUGACCCUAGACCUGUAUAAGGACAGGUCUAGGAUCAGCUUAUCCUCCCCAAUCCUGACCCUAGACCUGUAUAAGGACAGGUCUAGGAUCAGCUUAUCCUCCCCAAUCCUGACCCUAGACCUGUAUAAGGACAGGUCUAGGAUCAGCUUAUCCUCCCCAAUCCUGACCCUAGACCUGUAUAAGGACAGGUCUAGGAUCAGCUUAUCCUCCCCAAUCCUGAC